GAUGCUCCGAGCCCCUUCGCCUAAAGCGCAAGCCAUGGCGGCCGGGCCGGGGUGCAGCCGGAAACAGCUGCGCCUUCCGUAUUUGAAAAGGAGAUAGCGAAUG
Molecule: non-coding RNA, 103 nt
Filed under: uncultured Eubacterium sp.
Lineage: Bacteria; Bacillati; Bacillota; Clostridia; Eubacteriales; Eubacteriaceae
Description: Moco (molybdenum cofactor) riboswitch
Rfam family: Molybdenum/Tungsten riboswitch aptamer (Moco RNA motif) (bases 5-93)
Source: RNAcentral